RNAcentral lists this ribosomal RNA (444 nucleotides) under Glossodoris andersonae. Its description in RNAcentral is "partial 16S ribosomal RNA". It matches the Rfam family "Archaeal large subunit ribosomal RNA", at positions 1909 to 2665 of the family's 2987-position model. The record is from RNAcentral. Lineage: Eukaryota; Metazoa; Mollusca; Gastropoda; Nudibranchia; Chromodorididae.
AGCUUUAGGAAAAUAUUUAAGGUUAAACCUGCCCAAUGUGUAUUAUUAAUGGCCGCGGUACUUUGACCGUGCUAAGGUAGCGCAAUCAAUUGGCUCUUAAUUGGGGUCAGGAAUGAAUGGAAUAACGGAGUUCGGCUGUCUCUAAAUUAAUAAUUUGAAGUUACUAUUUAGGUGAAAAAGCCUAAAAUAAGAAAAGGGACGAGAAGACCCUUAGAGUUUUACUUAAUUUAAACAAAAAAAAAGUAUUUAUAAUGGUUUAGUUGGGGCAACGUGGGAGCAUAGAAUUAAUCUCCAAAAUAUAAUCGACCGAUGAUUUUAAAUUUGAAUAAACUACCUUAGGGAUAACAGCAUUAUUUUAAAAAUAAGUUUGUGACCUCGAUGUUGGACUAGGGAAUCUAAAGGCUAGCCGUUUUUAGAAAGAGUUCUGUUCGAACUAUUACUCCU